AAGUCGAACGAGUUCUGAUUAUUGAAAGGUGCUUGCAUCUUGAUUUAAUUUUGAACGAAUGGCGGACGGGUGAGUAACACGUGGGUAACCUGCCCUUAAGUGGGGGAUAACAUUUGGAAACAGAUGCUAAUACCGCAUAAAUCCAAGAACCGCAUGGUUCUUGGCUGAAAGAUGGCGUAAGCUAUCGCUUUUGGAUGGACCCGCGGCGUAUUAGCUAGUUGGUGAGGGAACGGCUCACCAAGGCAAUGAUACGUAGCCCAACUGAGAGGUUGAUCGGCCACAUUGGGACUGAGACACGGCCCAAACUCCUACGGGAGGCAGCAGUAGGGAAUCUUCCACAAUGGACGCAAGUCUGAUGGAGCAACGCCGCGUGAGUGAAGAAGGCUUUCGGGUCGUAAAACUCUGUUGUUGGAGAAGAAUGGUCGGCAGAGUAACUGUUGUCGGCGUGACGGUAUCCAACCAGAAAGCCACGGCUAACUACGUGCCAGCAGCCGCGGUAAUACGUAGGUGGCAAGCGUUAUCCGGAUUUAUUGGGCGUAAAGCGAGCGCAGGCGGUUUUUUAAGUCUGAUGUGAAAGCCCUCGGCUUAACCGAGGAAGUGCAUCGGAAACUGGGAAACUUGAGUGCAGAAGAGGACAGUGGAACUCCAUGUG
This 652-nucleotide ribosomal RNA is filed under the name Lacticaseibacillus rhamnosus. RNAcentral describes it as "bacterial SSU rRNA". It matches the Rfam family "Bacterial small subunit ribosomal RNA", at positions 59 to 675 of the family's 1533-position model. The record is from RNAcentral. Lineage: Bacteria; Bacillati; Bacillota; Bacilli; Lactobacillales; Lactobacillaceae.